Molecule: ribosomal RNA, 453 nt
Filed under: uncultured organism
Description: partial 16S ribosomal RNA
Rfam family: Bacterial small subunit ribosomal RNA
Source: RNAcentral
UACACUCCUGCGGGAAGCAGCAGUGGGGAAUAUUGGACAAUGGGCGCAAGCCUGAUCCAGCCAUGCCGCGUGAGUGAUGAAGGCCCUAGGGUUGUAAAGCUCUUUCACCGGUGAAGAUAAUGACGGUAACCGGAGAAGAAGCCCCGGCUAACUUCGUGCCAGCAGCCGCGGUAAUACGAAGGGGGCUAGCGUUGUUCGGAUUUACUGGGCGUAAAGCGCACGUAGGCGGACUAUUAAGUCAGGGGUGAAAUCCCGGGGCUCAACCCCGGAACUGCCUUUGAUACUGGUAGUCUUGAGUUCGAGAGAGGUGAGUGGAAUUCCGAGUGUAGAGGUGAAAUUCGUAGAUAUUCGGAGGAACACCAGUGGCGAAGGCGACUCACUGGCUCGAUACUGACGCUGAGGUGCGAAAGCGUGGGGAGCAAACAGGAUUAGAUACCCGGGUAGUCCCAUGAU